RNAcentral lists this ribosomal RNA (509 nucleotides) under uncultured bacterium. Its description in RNAcentral is "bacterial SSU rRNA". It matches the Rfam family "Bacterial small subunit ribosomal RNA", at positions 28 to 524 of the family's 1533-position model. The record is from RNAcentral.
GACGAACGCUGGCGGCGCGCCUAACACAUGCAAGUCGAGCGAGAACCGGGGCUUCGGCCCCGGGGAAAGCGGCGAACGGGUGAGUAACACGUGGGUAAUCUGCCCUCGGUUCCGGAAUAGCCCGGGGAAACCCGGAUUAAUGCCGGAUGGCCUGCCGGCCCUUUGGGGUCGGCAGAAAAGGUAGCUUCGGCCUCCGACCGAGGAUGAGCCCGCGGCAGAUUAGCUAGUUGGUGGGGUAAUGGCCCACCAAGGCGACGAUCUGUAGCUGGUCUGAGAGGACGAUCAGCCACACUGGGACUGAGACACGGCCCAGACUCCUACGGGAGGCAGCAGUGGGGAAUAUUGGACAAUGGGCGAAAGCCUGAUCCAGCGACGCCGCGUGGGUGAAGAAGGCCUGCGGGUUGUAAAGCCCUUUCGGUGGGAAGAAAAGCCUCGAGUUAAUACCUCGGGGUCUUGACGUAACCCAUAGAAGAAGCACCGGCUAACUCUGUGCCAGCCGCCGCCGUAAC